AUUUUGCACAAUGGGGGAAACCCUGAUGCAGCGACGCCGCGUGAGUGAAGAAGUAUUUCGGUAUGUAAAGCUCUAUCAGCAGGGAAGAAAUACUGACUUUACGGUCAGCAGACGGUACCUGACUUAGUAGCCCCGGCUAACUACGUGCCAGCAGCCGCGGUAAUACGUAGGGGGCAAGCGUUAUCCGGAUUUACUGGGUGUGAAGGGAGCGUAGACGGCAGCGCAAGUCUGAAGUGAAAUCCCAUGGCUUAACCAUGGAACUGCUUUGGAAACUGUGCAGCUGGAGUGCAGGAGAGGUAAGCGGAAUUCCUAGUGUAGCGGUGAAAUGCGUAGAUAUUAGGAGGAACACCAGUGGCGAAGGCGGCUUACUGGACUGUAACUGACGUUGAGGCUCGAAAGCGUGGGGAGCAAACAGG
This 416-nucleotide ribosomal RNA is filed under the name uncultured bacterium. Its description in RNAcentral is "bacterial SSU rRNA". It matches the Rfam family "Bacterial small subunit ribosomal RNA", at positions 361 to 776 of the family's 1533-position model. The record is from RNAcentral.